This 427-nucleotide ribosomal RNA is filed under the name uncultured bacterium. RNAcentral's name for it is "bacterial SSU rRNA". It matches the Rfam family "Bacterial small subunit ribosomal RNA", at positions 355 to 774 of the family's 1533-position model. The record is from RNAcentral.
UGGGGAAUAUUGGACAAUGGGCGCAAGCCUGAUCCAGCCAUACCGCGUGGGUGAAGAAGGCCUUCGGGUUGUAAAGCCCUUUUGUUGGGAAGGAAAUCCUAUCGGUUAAUAACCGGUGGGGAUGACGGUACCCAAAGAAUAAGCACCGGCUAACUUCGUGCCAGCAGCCGCGGUAAUACGAAGGGUGCAAGCGUUACUCGGAAUUACUGGGCGUAAAGCGUGCGCAGGCGGUUGUGUAAGUCAGAUGUGAAAUCCCCGGGCUCAACCUGGGAAUUGCAUUUGAGACUGCACGGCUAGAGUGUGGUAGAGGGAUGCGGGAUUUCUGGUGUAGCAGUGAAAUGCGUAGAGAUCAGAAGGAACAUCCGUGGCGAAGGCGGCAUCCUGGGCCAACACUGACACUGAGGCACGAAAGCGUGGGGAGCAAACA